RNAcentral lists this long non-coding RNA (1511 nucleotides) under Calidris pugnax (ruff). RNAcentral's name for it is "lncRNA (ENSCPUG00000013337.1)". Lineage: Eukaryota; Metazoa; Chordata; Aves; Charadriiformes; Scolopacidae. The record is from RNAcentral.
GAGCUUGCUUCCACCUGUGCUCCAAGGAGGUGUUUCCUGCCUGCAGUGCUCCCUCACCCCAUCACUGCCAGCCCUUUAUGCUCCUCCCAUCCCUCUGUGACUCUCUUGCUUUCUGGAGGUGGUGGUACAGCAGCCCUGGUGGGUUCUGCCCCUGAUCUUCCUUCCCUUCCUUCCUCCUCGCAACUCAGUGUUUUCAGCAAAGUCUGCAACGGCUCCAAACUUGCUUUCUCUUUAUAGUGGAACAGAGAAGACGCAGAGCAAGGAAUAGACUUUUAUAAGAAAAGAUGAGCAUCUGGCUCCAGAGAAGACGAACGAAAAUAUGUUGUUCCCUCAUCCUUUUCCCAUGUGUAUUCCUGUUUGUAAAAGGGGUAACAGGACAGCAGAGCACCAUGGAUCAACAAGCUUCAGAUGUUAACUGCAACUCGUCCAAAGGUUGGUUUCUGGCAACAAUUACACUAAGUGUUCUAGGAGCCUCAGGCAUCAUCAUCGUAAUCUGGUGGAGUUAUGAACAGAAAAAGCAAGGUAAGAUAUUAGUGGAAUUCUCUUGCAUUUCAUAGUACCUUCCUACCAAACAAGAAUACAGUGAUCAGCCACUGUCAGCAAGGCCCAUGCCCUCAAGCAUCAAAGCCAUCCACGGCAGACAUGACAGAGGGCUGACAGCAGCCUCGUGCCCUUCUGGAACAUGAGCUGGAGGCCAAGUGCAAUACUCAGGGAACCCAUGACAGGAGGCAGAGGAUGGGCUCUGACUCUUGUGGAUGCAGCUGCAAAGGCUUGAAAGGAUUGUGGCCAACACCCAGCUCUCAGCCUUUUAAUUGUCACUGUAUUAAUUGUGAGGAAGUUGGAAAGGAAAGGGUUGUUAGACUACAGAAUCUUGCAGAAGCCUCAGACCAAAUACUGCUUUCACAGUGACCUUUUUGUAAAAAUCAGGAGUGGUGCUGAGAGCAGGGCAGGUGAUCCUGUCAGACGUAAUGUCACAGUUAUUUCUGGGAUGACACAGAACACAAGGUUUAAAAGAGAGAGAAGAGAGGUGGUGCUUGGUUUCACAGAAGAUUUUGUUCUACCACCUUUCACUGUCUCUUACAUCAGAAAAGAUGAGCAUCUGGCUCCAGAGAAGACGAACGAAAAUAUGUUGUUCCCUCAUCCUUUUCCCAUGUGUAUUCCUGUUUGUAACAGGUAAGAAAGCCUCUUUCAAAUUGUUCGCUGACAUUUUCCAAGCUGAAGAGACUUAGAAUUUGUUACUUCCCUUGGGGCUCAAAACAGGAAGGAUCUGCCUGAUGCUUUCCUCACGUGCUUCCUUAGGUGAAGUGGUGGGAUGUGGAGGGAUGGGAUUUUGGGCUUGCGAGCAGGUCCUCUUGCCAGCUCUCACCUUUCCUACUCCUGAGCUUUCCAUGGGGACAUGAACAUCAGCAGGAGGGUCACACUGAAAGGAACAAUCCUGGCUGUGAUCCAGGCACACAGCUUGACUUCUGAGUUCUCAGAGAGCUCCUUUCCCCAAACUGCAUUUAAAGAAG